Molecule: long non-coding RNA, 547 nt
Filed under: Brassica napus (rape)
Lineage: Eukaryota; Viridiplantae; Streptophyta; Magnoliopsida; Brassicales; Brassicaceae
Description: long non-coding RNA (BNAP_LNC006726)
Source: RNAcentral
AUCAUAACAAAAAUAAAUUAUCCUCAAAAAAUUAACAACUAGAGUCAAGAAAUUAUAAGCGUACAAAAUGUCAAUUGCUAUAAACUUAUAACAAAAUAAAAUACAGAAUCUUUCAUCACUUGCGUCGUCGAAUACUCAUCUUGUUUCGCUCGUGUUCUCUGAAAAGUGACGUAGGUAACACGAUGUUAUUACUCAAGUCUCGAACGGUCCGACCAACACAUACAUAGUCGUCUCCUGUUAACGAACUAUGGAAAACACCAUGACUUUCUAUAGGAACAUUUGGUUGGCUAUGAAAUAGAGGUGCUGUUUGGCUAUAUGUAAGUAUGUAACGUGGGUGUUGGCUGGCUUUGUAGUGUAGGUGUUGUCUCCACAGAUUGUUCUUCACUCAUCUGAUGUUUUGAUGGACGACCUCGAGGCUUUUUUGGAGGAAUAAUCGCUAUUUCAUUUGAGCAUGUUCGCUUGGUAUGUCCUUUUUGAAGACACUUGCUACAUGUCUGAAAAAAUACAAACCACAUCAACACAUUUAGAAUAGCUUGAAUUCAUGCUC